This 40-nucleotide ribosomal RNA is filed under the name Cinnagrostis viridiflavescens var. montevidensis. RNAcentral's name for it is "partial 26S ribosomal RNA". The record is from RNAcentral. Lineage: Eukaryota; Viridiplantae; Streptophyta; Magnoliopsida; Poales; Poaceae.
GCGACCCCAGGUCAGGCGGGACUACCCGCUGAAUUUAAGC